Molecule: microRNA precursor, 154 nt
Filed under: Amborella trichopoda
Lineage: Eukaryota; Viridiplantae; Streptophyta; Magnoliopsida; Amborellales; Amborellaceae
Description: MIR8565 microRNA precursor family
Rfam family: MIR8565 microRNA precursor family
Source: Rfam by way of RNAcentral
UCUACACCCAUGUGUGUAGGACCCCAAAAGAUCACCAUUAAAUUUGGUACAGAUCUUUAGAAAAGUUAUCACAUGGGUGUGAGAUUAAUUUUUCUAAAUAUCUGUGCUAAAUUUUAAUGGUGAUCAUUUGGAGUCCUACACACAUGGGUGUAGG